AUGUAGCACGCGUGCACUCCGGUUCUUGUGCGCCGUCCACGCCCACUUGGCGGUGACUGGCUACGUUGUGUUUGCC
RNAcentral lists this small RNA (76 nucleotides) under Xanthomonas vasicola. RNAcentral's name for it is "sX9 sRNA". It matches the Rfam family "Xanthomonas sRNA sX9". The record is from RNAcentral. RNAcentral also lists the same sequence under 14 other names. Lineage: Bacteria; Pseudomonadati; Pseudomonadota; Gammaproteobacteria; Lysobacterales; Lysobacteraceae.